Molecule: ribosomal RNA, 482 nt
Filed under: uncultured bacterium
Lineage: Bacteria
Description: partial 16S ribosomal RNA
Rfam family: Bacterial small subunit ribosomal RNA
Source: RNAcentral
UUGAACGCUGGCGGCAUGCUUUACACAUGCAAGUCGAACGGCAGCGCGGGCUUCGGCCUGGCGGCGAGUGGCGAACGGGUGAGUAAUACAUCGGAACGUGCCCAGUAGUGGGGGAUAGCUCGGCGAAAGCCGGAUUAAUACCGCAUACGACCUGAGGGUGAAAGCGGGGGAUCUUCGGACCUCGCGCUAUUGGAGCGGCCGAUGGCAGAUUAGCUAGUUGGUGGGGUAAAGGCCUACCAAGGCGACGAUCUGUAGCUGGUCUGAGAGGACGACCAGCCACACUGGGACUGAGACACGGCCCAGACUCCUACGGGAGGCAGCAGUGGGGAAUUUUGGACAAUGGGCGAAAGCCUGAUCCAGCAAUGCCGCGUGUGUGAUGAAGGCCUUCGGGUUGUAAAGCACUUUUGGCGGGAACGAAAAGGACUGUGCCAAUACCACGGUUCGAUGACGGUACCCGCAGAAUAAGCACCGGCUAACUACGU